This 427-nucleotide ribosomal RNA is filed under the name uncultured bacterium. RNAcentral's name for it is "bacterial SSU rRNA". It matches the Rfam family "Bacterial small subunit ribosomal RNA", at positions 355 to 774 of the family's 1533-position model. The record is from RNAcentral.
UAGGGAAUAUUGGACAAUGGGGGCAACCCUGAUCCAGCCAUGCCGCGUGAGUGAAGAAGGCCCUCGGGUUGUAAAGCUCUUUUGUCCGGAAAGAAAAGCAUUCGGUGAAUACCCGGAUGUUCUGACGGUACCGGAAGAAUAAGCACCGGCUAACUUCGUGCCAGCAGCCGCGGUAAUACGAAGGGUGCAAGCGUUACUAGGAAUUACUGGGCGUAAAGCGUGCGUAGGUGGUUGUUUAAGUCUGAUGUGAAAGCCCUGGGCUCAACCUGGGAAUGGCAUUGGAAACUGGGCAGCUAGAGUGCAGUAGAGGGUAGUGGAAUUCCCGGUGUAGCAGUGAAAUGCGUAGAGAUCGGGAGGAACAUCUGUGGCGAAGGCGACUGCCUGGACCAGCACUGACACUGAGGCACGAAAGCGUGGGGAGCAAACA